AUUGAACGCUGGCGGCAUGCCUUACACAUGCAAGUCGAACGGUAACAGGUCUUCGGAUGCUGACGAGUGGCGAACGGGUGAGUAAUACAUCGGAACGUGCCCGAUCGUGGGGGAUAACGAAGCGAAAGCUUUGCUAAUACCGCAUACGAUCUACGGAUGAAAGCAGGGGACCGCAAGGCCUUGCGCGAACGGAGCGGCCGAUGGCAGAUUAGGUAGUUGGUGGGAUAAAAGCUUACCAAGCCGACGAUCUGUAGCUGGUCUGAGAGGACGACCAGCCACACUGGGACUGAGACACGGCCCAGACUCCUACGGGAGGCAGCAGUGGGGAAUUUUGUACAAUGGGCGAAAGCCUGAUCCAGCCAUGCCGCGUGCAGGAUGAAGGCCUUCGGGUUGUAAACUGCUUUUGUACGGAACGAAAAGACUCUGGUUAAUACCUGGGGUCCAUGACGGUACCGUAAGAAUAAGCACCGGCUAACUACGUG
RNAcentral lists this ribosomal RNA (482 nucleotides) under uncultured bacterium. Its description in RNAcentral is "partial 16S ribosomal RNA". It matches the Rfam family "Bacterial small subunit ribosomal RNA", at positions 30 to 507 of the family's 1533-position model. The record is from RNAcentral.